Non-coding RNA from Pelodiscus sinensis (Chinese soft-shelled turtle), 522 nucleotides. The record is from RefSeq and is a predicted model, not a curated record. Lineage: Eukaryota; Metazoa; Chordata; Testudines; Trionychidae.
CCCUCUAGGUGCAAGAGAGGUCAGGAAAGUUUGGCGAUGAACCCUGCUCCCACUCCCAGAACCGACUCUGCAUGGAAGCAUGGCCAAUGGGAGCUGCUGGGGCAGCGCCUAUGGAUGUGGGCAGCACAUGCCACGCAGAGCCACUUGACCCCUUGGAUGUGGUGGCUGCUUCCAGGAGCCGCAUGGGACCAGGACAGGCAGGGAGCCUGCCUUAGCCUCGCUGCGUUCCUGACUGGGAAUUGCCUCAGGUACAUUUUGCCUGACAGGACGAUUGAAAGAUGAGAAUCAACAAGAAACUACAGGAAACAAAGGGACGUUUCAAACGGCAGUGGAAAUCUGCAAGCACAGUUCAUCGCAGGUACAGAACUGCAUACCCCAAAACAGAGGCUUGCUUUGAACAAUCAGAUUCAAAAUGUGUUUGGACAGACGAACAUAGGAGCCAAACCUCAACCUAAACCUUCCAUACAGUAAAUAUGAGAUCAAAUGACCUUCCAGAAAAAGACUUCUCCAAACUAACUUGGC